GCAGGGGUCUCCAAGCCAGGUCAACGGAGUAGGGCUUAGGACCCUAUCGCGUAGGCGUUCGUGGGUUCGAAUCCCACCCCCUGCACCA
RNAcentral lists this transfer RNA (88 nucleotides) under Candidatus Bathyarchaeota archaeon. RNAcentral's name for it is "tRNA-Leu". It matches the Rfam family "tRNA". Rfam says of the family: Transfer RNA (tRNA) molecules are approximately 80 nucleotides in length. Their secondary structure includes four short double-helical elements and three loops (D, anti-codon, and T loops). Lineage: Archaea; Thermoproteati; Candidatus Bathyarchaeota. RNAcentral also lists the same sequence under 10 other names. The record is from RNAcentral.